CCUACGGGAGGCAGCAGUGAGGAAUAUUGGUCAAUGGACGAGAGUCUGAACCAGCCAAGUAGCGUGAAGGAUGACUGCCCUAUGGGUUGUAAACUUCUUUUAUAUAGGAAUAAAACGAGGCACGUGUGCCUUUUUGCAUGUACUUUAUGAAUAAGGAUCGGCUAACUCCGUGCCAGCAGCCGCGGUAAUACGGAGGAUCCGAGCGUUAUCCGGAUUUAUUGGGUUUAAAGGGAGCGUAGAUGGGUUGUUAAGUCAGUUGUGAAAGUUUGCGGCUCAACCGUAAAAUUGCAGUUGAUACUGGCAGUCUUGAGUACAGUUGAGGUAAGCGGAAUUCGUGGUGUAGCGGUGAAAUGCUUAGAUAUCACGAAGAACCCCGAUUGCGAAGGCAGCUCACUAAACUGUGACUGACACUGAUGCUCGAAAGUGUGGGUAUCAAACAGGAUUAGAUACCCUUGUAGUC
This 460-nucleotide ribosomal RNA is filed under the name uncultured bacterium. Its description in RNAcentral is "partial 16S ribosomal RNA". It matches the Rfam family "Bacterial small subunit ribosomal RNA", at positions 338 to 795 of the family's 1533-position model. The record is from RNAcentral.